RNAcentral lists this ribosomal RNA (492 nucleotides) under uncultured bacterium. Its description in RNAcentral is "partial 16S ribosomal RNA". It matches the Rfam family "Bacterial small subunit ribosomal RNA", at positions 29 to 507 of the family's 1533-position model. The record is from RNAcentral.
AGUGAACGCUGGCGGUAGGCCUAACACAUGCAAGUCGAACGGCAGCACAGUAAGAGCUUGCUCUUACGGGUGGCGAGUGGCGGACGGGUGAGGAAUACAUCGGAAUCUACUUUUUCGUGGGGGAUAACGUAGGGAAACUUACGCUAAUACCGCAUACGACCUACGGGUGAAAGCAGGGGAUCUUCGGACCUUGCGCGAGUGAAUGAGCCGAUGCCGGAUUAGCUAGUUGGCGGGGUAAAGGCCCACCAAGGCGACGAUCCGUAGCUGGUCUGAGAGGAUGAUCAGCCACACUGGAACUGAGACACGGUCCAGACUCCUACGGGAGGCAGCAGUGGGGAAUAUUGGACAAUGGGCGCAAGCCUGAUCCAGCCAUACCGCGUGGGUGAAGAAGGCCUUCGGGUUGUAAAGCCCUUUUGUUGGGAAAGAAAAGCAGCAGGUUAAUACCCCGCUGUUCUGACGGUACCCAAAGAAUAAGCACCGGCUAACUUCGUG